GACGAACGCUGGCGGCGUGCUUAACACAUGCAAGUCGAACGGAAAGGCCCUGCUCUUGUGGGGUGCACGAGUGGCGAACGGGUGAGUAACACGUGAGUAAACUGCCCUUGACUUUGGGAUAACUUCAGGAAACUGGGGCUAAUACCGGAUAGGAGCUCCUGCUGCAUGGUGGGGGUUGGAAAGUUUCGGCGGUUGGGGCUGGACUCGCGGCUUAUCAGCUUGUUGGUGGGGUAGUGGCUUACCAAGGCUUUGACGGGUAGCCGGCCUGAGAGGGUGACCGGCGACAUUGGGACUGAGAGAGGGCGCAGACUCCUACGGUAGGCAGCAGGGGAGAAUAUUGCACAGUGGGCGGGAGCCUGAGACGGCGACGCCGCGUGCGGGAUGACGGCCUUCGGGGUGUGAACCGCUGUCUCCGGUGACGAGGCGUGAGUGACGGUAAUGAGUAAGAAAGCACCGGCUAACUACGUG
Molecule: ribosomal RNA, 468 nt
Filed under: uncultured bacterium
Lineage: Bacteria
Description: partial 16S ribosomal RNA
Rfam family: Bacterial small subunit ribosomal RNA
Source: RNAcentral